GAUGAACGCUGGCGGCGUGCCUAAUACAUGCAAGUCGAACGAACAGAUGAGGCUCUUGCUCCUCUGACGUUAGCCGCGGACGGGUGUGUAACGCGUGUAUACCCUACCUAUAAGUCUGGGAUCACUUCGGGAAACCGGCGCUAAUCCCGUAUAAUCUCUUGAACCGCAUGGUUCAAUGGUGGGAUACGGUUUUUCUGUCUCGUCUAGCUGGAUCCGCGCCGUAUUAGGUGGUUGGUACGCUAACUGCUUUCCAAGGCAACGAGGCGUAGCCGACCUGCGAGAGGGAUAGGCCACACGAGAACGUAGACGCGGUCAUUGGUCCUACGGGAGGCAGCAGUAGGGAAUGGUCCGCAGUGGGCGAAAGCAUUGCGGAGCAACGCGGCGUGAGUGAUGACGGUGCCCGGAGCGUAAUACUCUGUUACUAGGGAAGAACAAAUGUGGAAGUAAAUAUGCACGUCUUGACGGUACCGAAUCAGAAAGCACCGGCUAACUACGUG
RNAcentral lists this ribosomal RNA (497 nucleotides) under uncultured bacterium. RNAcentral's name for it is "partial 16S ribosomal RNA". It matches the Rfam family "Bacterial small subunit ribosomal RNA", at positions 28 to 507 of the family's 1533-position model. The record is from RNAcentral.